UGUGGAUAGCGGAGAAAUUCCAAUCGAACUCGGAGAUAGCUGGUUCUCCUCGAAAUAGCUUUAGGGCUAGCCUCGUAUAUGUCUAGCGGAGGUAGAGCACUGAAUAGUCUAGGGACCUACACAGGUUACCGAAACUUAUCAAACUCCGAAUGCCGCAUAGAUUUAGUACGGGAGUCAGACAGCGACAGAUAAGUGCCGUUGUCAAAAGGGAAACAGCCCAGAUCGCCAGCUAAGGUCCCAAAAUUAUGGUUAAGUGGUAAAGGAUGUGGAUUUGCUAAGACAGCUAGGAUGUUGGCUUAGAAGCAGCCACUCAUUUAAAGAGUGCGUAACAGCUCACUAGUCGAGUGAGUCUGCGCCGAAAAUCAACGGGGCUAAAACCAUAUACCGAAGCUGCGGAUUCAGAAAUGAAUGGUAGAGGAGCUUACUGUAGGCAGUUGAAGCACGAUCGUAAGGACGUGUGGAUGUAUCAGUAGUGAGAAUGUCGGAAUAAGUAACGAGAGACAAGUGAGAAUCUUGUCCGUCGAAAAUCCAAGGUUUCCUGGGGAAGGGUCGUCCUCCCAGGGUUAGUCGGGACCUAAGGCGAGGCUGACAAGCGUAGCCGAUGGACAACAGGUUGAUAUUCCUGUACCGCCGUUGCUCGUUUUAAGAGAAGCAAGGACGCAGUAGGAUAGUCGAUGCACACUGCAGGAUAUGUGUGUUCAAGCGAUGAGGAUAGAGAAGUAGUUAAGUACGCUUCUUGUUUCUGGGUCGUGAUGAGGAGGGAAAACAAGUACCGAAGUCGAUGAUUUCACACUGACGAGAAAAGUUGCUAUCAAGAGUAAAGGUGCCCGUACCGCAAACCGACACAGGUGGAUGAGGAGAGAAUCCUAAGACGAGCGGGAGAAGCGUUGUUAAGGAACUCGGCAAAUUAACCCCGUAAGUUCGCAAUAAGGGGAGCCUCGGUAGUGAUACCAGGUCGCAGAGAAUUGGCCCAAGCAACUGUUUACCAAAAACACAGGUCUCCGCUAAAUCGUAAGAUGAGGUAUGGGGGCUGACGCCUGCCCGGUGCUGGAAGGUCACGGGAAUCUGUUAGAGCAAUCGAAGCAGUGAACUUAAGCCCCAGUAAACGGCGGCCGUAACUAUAACGGUCCUAAGGUAGCGAAAUUCCUUGUCAGGUAAGUUCUGACCCGCACGAAUGGCGUAAUGAUUUGGGCACUGUCUCAACAGCCCGCCCGGCGAAAUUGUAGUACCGGUGAAGAUGCCGGUUACCCGCGACAAGACGGAAAGACCCCAUGGAGCUUUACUGUAGCCUAAUAUUGGGUUUCGAUGUUGCAUGCACAGGAUAGAUGGGACACUGGGAAACAAUCGCUUUGGCGGUUGCGGAGUGGCCGUUGGGAUACCAUCCUUGCGAUAUUGGAAUUCUAACCUGCGGCUCUGAAUCGAGUCGGGGGACAUUGUUAGGUGGGCAGUUUGACUGGGGCGGUCGCCUCCUAAAGAGUAACGGAGGCGUUCAAAGGUUCGCUCAGCUUGAACGGAAAUCAAGCAAAAGAGUGCAAACGCAGAAGCGAGCCUAACUGCGAGACUGACGGGUCGAGCAGUAACGAAAGUUGGAGUUAGUGAUCCGGUGGUAUGUGAGUGGAAAUGCCAUCGCUCAACGGAUAAAAGUUACCCUGGGGAUAACAGGCUGAUCUCCCCCAAGAGUUCACAUCGACGGGGAGGUUUGGCACCUCGAUGUCGGCUCA
RNAcentral lists this ribosomal RNA (1721 nucleotides) under wastewater metagenome. RNAcentral's name for it is "bacterial LSU rRNA". It matches the Rfam family "Bacterial large subunit ribosomal RNA", at positions 810 to 2539 of the family's 2925-position model. The record is from RNAcentral.